CAUUUUCAAUAUUCAUAUCGACUACAUUUGUAAGAUCUAGCUAGUUUCUCUCAUUCAAUUUGGUUUGCAAAUGGAACACUUUCAGCAGCUCACCUCGACUCAAAAGAAUGCAGUCCAUGAUCCCUUAUCGAUUCGAAAGGAUGUUGGUUCGACAAAAAGUCGCAAUAUAACCAGGAUCCACCGUCGAGUUGUUGAGGCGACGAUGGAGGCCACAUCUGCCUACCCAAAAACUCCCAUACCCCCAAUGGAAGCCACAUUUGCCCACCCAAAAACUCCCAUACCCCUAAAGAAAUUGAUUUCAAUGUAAACAAAUGACCAACUGAGGCUGAUGCAUAUUGUAUGGAUAUUUAAGUUUUCUACUAUAUGGCUUUGUUGCUCCGUUUA
Molecule: long non-coding RNA, 384 nt
Organism: Ziziphus jujuba (common jujube)
Lineage: Eukaryota; Viridiplantae; Streptophyta; Magnoliopsida; Rosales; Rhamnaceae
Exons: 2
Source: RefSeq, a predicted model, not a curated record